AUAAAUUUUUAUGAUUUAUAAAAUUUAAUUUAAAUUUAUUUUACAUGUAAAUUUUAGUGUUAAUUUUUAAUUAUUUUAAUAAUAAUUAUUAAUAUUUGCAGUAAUUAAAAUUAAAAAUUUAAGAAAUUAAGAUUUAGAAAUAUUUUGAUUAUUAACAAAUUUUGUGCCAGCAGUUGCGGUUAUACAAAAAAUAAUUUAAAUUUUAUCGGUAUAUAAUAAAUAAUUUUUAUUUAAAUUAAAUAUUAAAUUAUUAAGUGAAAUUUUAAUUUAAUUAAAAUUUAUAUUAAUUUUAUGAUUUAUUAAAUUUUAUAAAAAACUAGGAUUAGAUACCCUAUUAUUAAAAAUUAAAUUUAUAAUACUAAAAUAGUAGAUAAUAAUUUAUUGAAACUUAAAUAAUUUGGCGGUAUUUUAGUUCAUUUAGAGGAAUCUGUUUAAUAAUUGAUAAUCCACGAAUAAAUUUACUUAAUUUAUUAUUUUGUAUAUCGUUGUUAAAAAAAUAUUUUUUAAUAAAAAUAAUAUUUAAAAAUUUUUAUAUAAAAUUAAUUCAGAUCAAGAUGCAGAUUAUAAUUAAGAAUAUAAUGGAUUACAAUAAAUAAAUUUAAAUGAAUAAUAUUUUUUAAUAAAUAUUUGAAGGUGGAUUUAAAUGUAAUUUUAAUUAAUUUAUUAAAAUGAUUAUAUAUUAAAAUAUGUACAUAUUGCCCGUCGCUUUCAUUAAUAAAUUGGAAUAAGUCGUAACAAAGUAGAGGUACUGGAAAGUGUUUCUAGAAAGAA
This 771-nucleotide non-coding RNA is filed under the name Parnassius apollo (apollo). Lineage: Eukaryota; Metazoa; Arthropoda; Insecta; Lepidoptera; Papilionidae. The record is from RNAcentral.